UAGCUCAGUUGGUAAAGAAUCUGCCUGCCAUGCAGAAGACCUGGGUUCAAUUCCUGG
Molecule: non-coding RNA, 57 nt
Organism: Bos taurus (domestic cattle)
Lineage: Eukaryota; Metazoa; Chordata; Mammalia; Artiodactyla; Bovidae
Source: Rfam